Molecule: long non-coding RNA, 199 nt
Filed under: Musa acuminata (dwarf banana)
Lineage: Eukaryota; Viridiplantae; Streptophyta; Magnoliopsida; Zingiberales; Musaceae
Description: long non-coding RNA (MACU_LNC004012)
Source: RNAcentral
UCCUUAUUUAACUGGUCUGGAACCACCCUAGACUAGUAUAAUUUGGAUUAGAUUAGGUUCAAUUUAGGUUAAACUAACUUGAAUAAGUCAAUCAAUUUGGAAUCACCCUGAAUUGAUCUAGACUAAUCAAGCCUAGUUUAGUUCAAUCAAUACUUGGGCUCAAAUCCAACAAUAAUAUUGAGCUAGAUUAAGCCAACUC